GACGAACGCUGGCGGCGUGCUUAACACAUGCAAGUCGAACGGAAAGGCCCCUUUGGGGGUACUCGAGUGGCGCACGGGGGAGUAACACGUGAGUAACCUUCCCUUGACUUCGGGAUAACUUCAGGAAACUGGGGCUAAUACCGGAUAGGAAUCCUUGCUGCAUGGUGGGGGUUGGAAAGCUUCGGCGGUUUUGGAUGGACUCGCGGCGUAUCAGCUUGUUGGUGGGGUAGUGGCUUACCAAGGCUUCGACGGGUAGCCGGACUGAGAGGGCGACCGGCCACCCUGGGACCUAGGUGCGGCCCCGACUCCUACGGUUGGACGCAGUGCGGAAUAUUGCUCCAUGGGCGGAAGCCGGGUGCAGAAGGGCCGCGGGCUGGAUGACGGCCUUCGGGUUGUAAAACGCUUUCAGCAGGAGCGAAGCUUGUGGUGACGGUACCUGCAGAAGAAGCACCGGCUAACUACGUG
This 465-nucleotide ribosomal RNA is filed under the name uncultured bacterium. RNAcentral's name for it is "partial 16S ribosomal RNA". It matches the Rfam family "Bacterial small subunit ribosomal RNA", at positions 28 to 507 of the family's 1533-position model. The record is from RNAcentral.